AGGACGAGUUGCUUAAUAAUGCGUUAUAUUGCGAUAAUUUAUUAUCAACUUGUUCAACUGGAUACGUCAAUGGAAGAAAGAUACUAAAAGCCGAAAAAAAGACUCUUGACUCUAAAGAAUCCUAAAUGGAACUUAUUUUUGAGCAAGUUUUUGCAAA
Molecule: long non-coding RNA, 157 nt
Filed under: Polistes fuscatus (common paper wasp)
Lineage: Eukaryota; Metazoa; Arthropoda; Insecta; Hymenoptera; Vespidae
Description: uncharacterized LOC122518469
Source: RNAcentral